UUGCCCUAGUAACGGCGAGUGAAGCGGCAACAGCUCAAAUUUGAAAUCUGGCCUCGGCCCGAGUUGUAAUUUGUAGAGGAUGCUUUUGGCGCGGCGCCUUCUGAGUUCCCUGGAACGGGACGCCAGAGAGGGUGAGAGCCCCGUACGGUUGGACGCCAAGCCUCUGUAAAGCUCCUUCGACGAGUCGAGUAGUUUGGGAAUGCUGCUCAAAAUGGGAGGUAAAUGCCUUCUAAAGCUAAAUACUGGCCAGAGACCGAUAGCGCACAAGUAGAGUGAUCGAAAGAUGAAAAGCACUUUGAAAAGAGGGUUAAAUAGCACGUGAAAUUGUUGAAAGGGAAGCGCUCAUGACCAGACGUGUGCCUCGUGAAUCAUCCGGCGUUCUCGCCGGUGCACUUCGCCUGGCACAGGCCAGCAUCGGUUUUCCCAGGGGGAUAAAAGCCGAGGGAACGUAGCUCUUCCGGGAGUGUUAUAGCCCGUGGCACAAUGCCCUUGGGGGGACCGAGGCCCGCGCUCCGCAAGGAUGCUGGCAUAAUGGUCAUCAGCGACCCGUCUUGAAACACGGACCAAGGAGUCAAGCAUUAGGGCGAGUGUUUGGGUGUCAAACCCGCACGCGAAAUGAAAGUGAACGCAGGUGAGAGCUUCGGCGCAUCAUCGACCGAUCCUGAUGUAUUCGGAUGGAUUUGAGUAAGAGCCUUACCGCUUGGACCCGAAAGAUGGUGAACUAUGCCUGGAUAGGGUGAAGCCAGAGGAAACUCUGGUGGAGGCUCCCAGCGGUUCUGACGUGCAAAUCGAUCGUCAAAUCUGGGCAUGGGGGCGAAAGACUAAUCGAACCAUC
Molecule: ribosomal RNA, 835 nt
Filed under: Annulusmagnus triseptatus
Lineage: Eukaryota; Fungi; Ascomycota; Sordariomycetes; Annulatascales; Annulatascaceae
Description: eukaryotic LSU rRNA
Rfam family: Eukaryotic large subunit ribosomal RNA
Source: RNAcentral